This 1235-nucleotide long non-coding RNA is filed under the name Vulpes vulpes (red fox). RNAcentral's name for it is "lncRNA (ENSVVUG00000010499.1)". Lineage: Eukaryota; Metazoa; Chordata; Mammalia; Carnivora; Canidae. The record is from RNAcentral.
AAAAAAGAAAAAGAAAGUGAGAAAGGAGGAGGUUGCAAACAUGGAAGAUGGCCAGAGAAGGGGCAGGCUGUCCAAGCAUGAAAUGGAACUAUUUAGGUAAGAAGGAACCCACAGCAGAGGUGGGCCAGGGGCUGGGUUGCAAGAGUUUGGAAAAGAGGCUCAUGGAAGAAAGGCAUUUGUGAGUGGGAGCCAGGCCUCCUAGGGAGCAGCAGUAUCACUCACUGGUGUGGUCAUAACCUUUGGAAUGAGGGUGUGAGUGAGUGCAAAUCCCCAGCCCCCUUCUCAUUCCAGUCUCAUCACACUCCUCUAGCCUGGUGCGCUCUCUCUCUCUCUCUCUCUCUCUCUGUCUCGCGUGUGCUCUCUCUCUCUCUCUCUCUCCCUCGCUCUCCCUCAUCUCAUUGUUUCAGAGUAGGCCAAAUUUGAAGUCCUUCCCAGGGAGUGGCUCUGUUCAUCUUAUUCUCCAGCCAAAGUAGAAACAGCGUGAGAAGGAGAGAGCCGCAUUUUCGGCAGACAACGGACUCGGUGAAAAGAGCAGAGGAGAAAUACACAGUGAGUUGUUUGAUUGUAUAAAACCCUAAACAGACAGAGGGUGUGUUGGAUGGGUUGGGUGUGUGUGGGUGUGUGUGUUAAACUGAAAGGCCAGAGUGGGGCAAUAGGGAAUGACAAUGACUGAGAAUUGAGUGAAUAUCUCAAUUAUCCAUGGAAUUCAAGAGAUAAGACACUGAGGUUAGCAGAUGAUAUUAAGAAGCCACAGAUAUUGAAAAGGACUAUAAGACACUGGGGGUUGAAAGCGGCCACAGGACAUGAGCAAAGAUACCAGUUAGAAUGGAAAGUAUCCUCUGACUUGGCAGAAAAGAGGAGUGAGAAUGAGAAUAACGGUGAGUGGGCAAAGAAGAUAAUUUGAAGGAAAAUAAAUGUUCAGUGAAAGAAAGGAGAGAAAGGCCUGGAGUCAGAGGGGGGACCAGGGAAAGCCCUGGGCAGACAAAGAGACAGGGGCCCUACAGGUACCCUUGCCUGGACCUCAAUGCUGAUGUGUCUGCGAGCAUUACAGCCUCUACUCUCCCAACACUCCCACUAGACAUGUUGCUCACGGGACCCAAGGUGCUGCUGUAUCUCACCGUGCUCAUCAUCCCCUCUGAGUGGACACCACUAGGAGUCAGUGGUCAACGAGGAGAUGAUGUGACUCCAGUGACACCAGAAACAUUUACAGAGGAUCCAAGUAAGCUACCCUUUUU